ACGGGAGGCAGCAGUGGGGAAUUUUGGACAAUGGGCGAAAGCGCUGAUCCAGCCAURCCGCGUGCGGGAAGAAGGCCUUCGGGUUGUAAACCGCUUUUGUCAGGGAAGAWAUACUUCKGGCUAAUACCCKGGGGUGAUGACGGUACCUGAAGAAUAAGCACCGGCUAACUACGUGCCAGCAGCCGCGGUAAUACGUAKGGUGCAAGCGUUAAUCGGAAUUACUGGGCGUAAAGCGUGCGCAGGCGGUUCUAUAAGACAGAUGUGAAAUCCCCGGGCUCAACCUGGGAACUGCAUUUGWGACUGUAGAGCUWGAGUACGGUARAGGGGGAUGGAAUUCCGCGUGUAGCARUGAAAUGCGUAGAUAUGCGGAGGAACACCGAUGGCGAAGGYAAUCCCCUGGACCUGUACUGACRCUCAUGCACGAAAGCGUGGGGAGCAAACAGGAUUAGAUACCCUGGUAGUCCACGCCCUAAACGAUGUCWACUGGUUGUUGGGAGGGUUUCUUCUCAKUAACSAAGCUAACGCGUGAAGUUGACCGCCUGGGGAGUACGGUCGCAAGGUUGAAACU
This 568-nucleotide ribosomal RNA is filed under the name uncultured beta proteobacterium. RNAcentral's name for it is "partial 16S ribosomal RNA". It matches the Rfam family "Bacterial small subunit ribosomal RNA", at positions 341 to 901 of the family's 1533-position model. The record is from RNAcentral. Lineage: Bacteria; Pseudomonadati; Pseudomonadota; Betaproteobacteria.